UUGACCUCAAAUCAGGUAGGAUUACCCGCUGAACUUAAGCAUAUCAAUAAGCGGAGGAAAAGAAACUAACAAGGAUUCCCCUAGUAACUGCGAGUGAAGCGGGAAAAGCUCAAAUUUGAAAUCUGGCGGUCCUCGACCGUCCGAGUUGUAAUCUAAAGAAGUGUUACCUGUGCUGGACCGUGUACA
This 186-nucleotide ribosomal RNA is filed under the name uncultured Inocybe. RNAcentral's name for it is "partial 28S ribosomal RNA". It matches the Rfam family "Eukaryotic large subunit ribosomal RNA", at positions 1 to 183 of the family's 3401-position model. Lineage: Eukaryota; Fungi; Basidiomycota; Agaricomycetes; Agaricales; Cortinariaceae. The record is from RNAcentral.